GACGAACGCUGGCGGCGUGCUUAACACAUGCAAGUCGAACGGUGAAGCGCCUUCCUUUUUGGUGGGUGUGGAUGAGUGGCGAACGGGUGAGUAACACGUGAGUAACCUGCCCCCUUCUUCUGGAUAACCGCAUGAAAGUGUGGCUAAUACGGGAUAUUCUGGGUCUGUCGCAUGAUGGGUCUGGGAAAGAUAUUGUUUCGGUGGGGGAUGGUCUCGCGGCCUAUCAGCUUGUUGGUGGGGUGAUGGCCUACCAAGGCGGUGACGGGUAGCCGGCCUGAGAGGGUGGACGGUCACACUGGGACUGAGACACGGCCCAGACUACUACGGGAGGCAGCAGUGGGGAAUAGUGCACAAUGGGAGCAAGCCUGAUGCAGCGACGCCGCGUGAGGGAUGGAGGCCUUCGGGUUGUGAACCUCUUUCGCCAGUGAAGCAGGCCUGCCUCGUUUGUGGGUGGGUUGACGGUAGCUGGAUAAGAAGCGCCGGCUAACUACGUG
This 494-nucleotide ribosomal RNA is filed under the name uncultured bacterium. RNAcentral describes it as "partial 16S ribosomal RNA". It matches the Rfam family "Bacterial small subunit ribosomal RNA", at positions 28 to 507 of the family's 1533-position model. The record is from RNAcentral.